This is a long non-coding RNA of Lepisosteus oculatus (spotted gar), 1867 nucleotides long. Lineage: Eukaryota; Metazoa; Chordata; Actinopteri; Semionotiformes; Lepisosteidae. The record is from Ensembl.
AUAUUAAAAGCAUUAAAAUCUGAAGUCCGAGUUUUACUAUAAACCCAGAUGAUCUGGCUGUUCUCUUGUAGAUGACGUCUCUACCAACCAUCAAUGCCCUGGCAUGAACGAGGUCCUGGAAAUGAUCAGAAAUGGGGUUUCCUUAAGACGUGUUAUACAGGUACAAAAGGGGACUUUCAAAGACGUCUGCGAUCAAGAGGAGCAACUGGAAGUCAGCAGCAGCUCUGCAGAGCCUGAACUUGAAACCAUCCUUAAAAGGAGAAAAGAAAGUGUGGAUCACUUUAUCUCGGAUGGCUCUUUUGAAGAGGAUUCUGCAGAGGACACUGGUCAGCGCAGGCUGGACAUGCCGGCCAAUAGCUCCCAAGUCAGGAAGAAUCCUGGAAAAGAGAACCCUGGCUACGUCUGCCAGGAUCAGGCGGAGAGCCAGGAACAUGGGAACUCGUGGAGGGAAUCGGUGGGAAAGCACCUUGAAUCCAACAGUGAGGCUGGAGACGAGGGCAGCACCAGCAGCACCCUCCCUGUCACGUCUCCACUGGACGUUGGUCAAGUGGAUGACCUCUCCUGUCCUCCUGAUCCAGAAGGCCAUGCUGAACCAUGGUUCGAAGAUGUGGCUUCAAUGGACCCCAGUAAUAUGGACCCUGAGACAGAGGAUCAUGUCAUCCUUGGAGCGAUUCUUAGCGAUUUGAUGACUGCCUUGAAGAACCAGGAUCUUUCAGACGAUGGGACUGCUUUAAAGGAUCAGGAUGACACGGAUACUGUAAGUAAGGCAAAUCCCCAUGCGUCUCCAGAACUUCCUGAGCAAAGCCAAGAACCAAAAGACAUGAAUGAGGAAGAAUGGACUGAUGUGAACCUGGAAGCGUUGCUUAUAUCCAGAUCCAACCUUUGUUUUAGGAAAACAGUAGACCCUGAUGAACACCUUGAAUGCCAUAAUAUCAAAAACAACCAGAACAAUGGUCAACUAGAUGUAUUAAAUGAAAUCAGUGUGGAAGACGCCAAGCAAACCCUUCCAAAGGCUUUAGAAGAUGGAGAUGUGGUGUCUUUGAAGGAAGCUGAUCUAGUAGACCUAGAUAAACACAUCACCCCUUUUCUCUUACAGAAUGGUGCACUGAUGGCUCCCCCAGCACGAUCUAGUGGACAGCAUGAUCAAGGUUGUAUCUCUUCUGACACUGCAAAGGUAUUGAAAGGAGACUUCAUAGAGGAGAGUGUAGAUAGUCCACAAGAAGCAAGCCUGGUGCCCAGAGAUCACCAGCCUCUUAAAGAAAGAGCCAGCUUUGUUGUAGGUCAAGGAGAUGUGGGUUCUCCUCCGCAAACCACCCUUCCUGCUCAUGUGAAAAACCAGAAUGUGAAGAGACCAUGUAACUCACCUCACUGUUAUCUGCCAGGCACUGAUCUCCUUCCAGCUCUUGAAGAUGAGAGAGAUUCCACUGACUCGGACAUACCUGUGUUCUUUUGCUAAGGAGUAAUCCUGUCAGAGUUUGUAAUUGAUCCAUGUUGACCUAUGUAGUGCAUAAAUUGGCCAUUGUAUUUUACUUUUGAUUGCAUUGUUCAGCAUAUUUUGUUUUAUUAAAUAGAGAGGGUUGGAAACCUUCAGUUUUUUUUAAUCCAGUAUUCAGUUUCAUGGAAGUAUUUUUUCCUUGGUGCAUUUGUGGUUUUAAUUGACAAGUUUGCUUUAAAUAAAAUAUUAAAUGAGGCAUUAUUUGAAAUUGUUGAUAUUGUUGUGAAAUGCAUCAAUUGUGUAACAUAAGCACAGAGAACGUAGACCUAAAAUGUAUGGUAAAUUAGUGAGCCUGUCAAAUCAGUAUGAACAGUGAUCAUGUACUAAAUGUAGAACAUGAUGAAACAUUUCUCUUCUCAAUUUAAAGUACUU